AACUCUGGAGGAACGCUGAGCUGAGCAGCACCGAGGACAGCGCCCGGCAGCGCCAGCGCCCAGGUCUCCCUCCGCAGCCCUGACUCGCGCACACGCUGAGCUUUUGCUCACUCCCCCUCGCGCGGACACAGACACACGCAUAUUCACACACCCAGACACACACCCCGCUGUACAAUGGCAGAAUCCCACCUGCAGUCAUCCCUCAUCACAGCCUCACAGUUUUUCGAGAUCUGGCUUCAUUUCGACGCUGACGGAACGGUAAUGGGAGGAGAGAGAGAGCAGGGAUUGGGGGACACUGCCCCCCCAAAGUUUCUGUGGCUGCGCUUAGCACCCCAACCAUCCUCCUUUGUCCUCAGUGGAUCUAAAGUUUGAUACCCCAGGAGGGGAGCGCUGCCGCGUCUGCACGCUUUGCUGGUUAAUCAAUGUCCAGGCAAGAGAGAGCCUCUCGGGUCGCCAGAAAGAUAACUGUCUUGGAAAGUGAACGGGAAAGACACUUGGAAUGAGAUAUCUGACACCUGGGUGCCUCUUUGUCUUUGCAGGAAGUGGUUACCUGGAAGGAAAGGAGCUGCAGAACUUGAUCCAGGAGCUCCAGCAGGCGCGAAAGAAGGCUGGAUUGGAGUUAUCACCUGAAAUGAAAACUUUUGUGGAUCAGUAUGGGCAAAGAGAUGAUGGAAAAAUAGGAAUUGUAGAGUUGGCUCACGUAUUACCCACAGAAGAGAAUUUCCUGCUGCUCUUCCGAUGCCAGCAGCUGAAGUCCUGUGAGGAAUUCAUGAAGACAUGGAGAAAAUAUGAUACUGACCACAGUGGCUUCAUAGAAACUGAGGAG
This 826-nucleotide small RNA is filed under the name Pongo abelii (Sumatran orangutan). Its description in RNAcentral is "retained intron". The record is from RNAcentral. Lineage: Eukaryota; Metazoa; Chordata; Mammalia; Primates; Hominidae.